This 308-nucleotide unclassified non-coding RNA is filed under the name Hevea brasiliensis (rubber tree). Lineage: Eukaryota; Viridiplantae; Streptophyta; Magnoliopsida; Malpighiales; Euphorbiaceae. The record is from RNAcentral.
AGAAUGAUGGCUUAAGUAAGUAAUUUAUUAUCCCAGGGAUAGGUGAAGAGAGUUUUCCUCUUCAAAAUCUCAGCAAAACAAAACAAGAUGGCAAGAACACAAUAAAAAAGUUAAUAAUUGAAGCAAUGUGUUACAAAAUUGUUAUAAAAGAAACAAAAAUAAAUAUAGAAUUAGGGCAGUGCUUACUGGAUUUUUGGAUUGGAUGAGAGUGAGAACGAGUGAAACUGGAAGACCACUCAUCGAUGAGGUCAAGUGAAACAAGAGAUGGAGACCUUGGCUUUCGAAUCUGAGACGAACUCAGACCUCUU